Long non-coding RNA from Eriocheir sinensis (Chinese mitten crab), 943 nucleotides. RefSeq lists it as uncharacterized. The record is from RefSeq and is a predicted model, not a curated record. The transcript is spliced from 5 exons. Lineage: Eukaryota; Metazoa; Arthropoda; Malacostraca; Decapoda; Varunidae.
UCAUGCCCAAAAGAAGAAGAAGAAGAGUAGAUUGAAGGGCCGACCUGCGUAGCGCCAUAAACCUUACUUUUUCUCGUGUUCUCCUUCAAACUACAAUGAAGAGAAGAUCCACAGCCUGUAAGAAGAAGGUGGAGAGUACAGUGGCGGCCAGGGAAAGGAAGAAACACCGCAGAGAAGCCUUCAUAUGACGAAAGUCUGGACCAUGGGGUCUGUGUGGUCUGAUUGUCUAUGUAAAUCUAUGUAAAUCCACUACGCCACCACAACCACCACCACCAAAUCACCACACUAAGCCCCUGCGUUACUGCCGCUAAGAAGAGAUCAUCUCUAUCCACCUCAUCAAACAGGGGGCUUCGUGGUGCAGUGGUUAGCACACUCGGCUCACAACUGAGAGAGCCCAGGUUCGAUUCCCAGGUGGAGUGGAAAAAUUUGGGCGGCUUUUCUGACACCCUACGCCCCUGUCCUCCCAGCAGUGAAUGGGCACCAGAUUGGCUACAGUGAAGGUCGUGGCAGCCAAGCAGAGAGUGUACUCAAACUCCUGCUGUGAGCUACUCCAUCCUGAGGGCUAAGACCUACGCCCUCACCACCUCUGUGAAGGAUGCACAGCUGACCCAACCCUCCUCGGUGGAGUGAGGGAACGCAACACCUCUGGCCCUCCCUGGCGAUGGCGGGCAAGACCAAGACCUAGAGUUCCCUGAGCAAGCCUGGCCUGAGGAACAUUGCCUUGGUGUGUGGGGUGACCUUUCUCAUGACCCGGGAUGACCUGACAUGGCGGACGCUAUGGUGUGUGUUGAUGCUGGGACCAAGGAGAAGAAGAGGAGGAGAAGGAUUAUGAUGAUAGAGGCAACACAAAGAAAAGAAAAAAAGGAGGAAGAAGAAUGGAGGAGGAGGAGGACACACACACACACACACACACACACACACACACACACACACACACACACAC